Molecule: ribosomal RNA, 759 nt
Filed under: uncultured bacterium
Lineage: Bacteria
Description: bacterial SSU rRNA
Rfam family: Bacterial small subunit ribosomal RNA
Source: RNAcentral
AGAGUUUGAUCAUGGCUCAGGACGAACGCUGGCGGCGUGGAUUAGGCAUGCAAGUCGAACGGUAUGGUGCUUUCGGGCAUCAGAGAGUGGCGAACGGGUGAGUAACACGUAGGUGAUCUACCCUCAAGACGGGGACAACCCAGGGAAACUUGGGCUAAUACCGGAUGAUAGCAGCAGCGAUGUUGUUUAAAAGAUGGCUUUCGGGCUGUCGUUUGGGGAUGAGCCUGCGUCCUAUUAGCUAGUUGGUGUGGUAACGGCACACCAAGGCGAUGAUAGGUAGGCGGCCUUAACGGGUGGUCGCCCACACUGGGAUUGAGAUACGGCCCAGACUCCUACGGGAGGCAGCAGUCGAGAAUAGUCUACAAUGGUCGGAAGACUGAUAGUGCGACGCCGCGUGAACGAGGAAGCCCUUCGGGGUGUAAAGUUCUUUUAUAUGUGAGCAGUGGUUUCUACGUGAAUAGCGUGGGAUCAGGGAUAUUAGCAUAUGAAUAAGCAACGGCUAACUCCGUGCCAGCAGCCGCGGUAACACGGGGGUUGCGAGCGUUGUCCGGAAUUACUAGGCGUAAAGGGCAGGUAGGCGGAUCUAUAAGUUUUUUGUCAAAUUCAACGGCUCACCCGUUGCGUGGCAGGAGAUACUGUAGAUCUGGAAUGCGGUUGGGGAAGACAGAAUUCCUGUGUAGCGGUGGAAUGCGCAGAGAUCAGGAGGAAUACCUAARGCGAARGCAGUCUUCUAAGCCGUAAUUGACGCUAAACUGCGAA